AUCAAAUGUUGUCCAUGCAUCAACUCAUGAACCGUUCAACCAAAGCUUUUUAAAUUUUAAUAUGUUGUUACUGACAACUAAAUGAAGGUCAAGUUUAAUAAUGGCGAUUUUGACUUUACCGUUCAGAGUUAUGGUUCUUGAAAGAUUGAAAAAUGGAGUUUCCAGUCGUGUCCGUGCAUUUACGCAUGAACUGUUCUACCAAAGCUUACCAAAUUUUAAUAUAUUGUUAUUGAUGACAAAAUAGAGGUCAAGUUCAAUAGUGACGAUUUUGACUUUUACCGUUCAGGAGUUAUGGUUCUUGAAAGAUCGUAAAAUGGCGUUUCCAUUCACGUUGUUGCAUUUACUAAUGAACCAUUCAAUCUAAGCUUUUCUAAUUUUAAUAUGUUGAUACUGACUACAAAAUGGAGGUCAAAAUUUGUAUUGACGAUUUUCACUUUCAGCAUUCAUCAGUUAUGGUUCUUGUGAUAUUGCCAGGACACAAAUAAAUGUUAAUAAAUCCGGUUUGCUGUCGUUGUGACAGCCUCUUGUUAUUGAAUUAGAAGAUAAUUUUAAUGAAUAUCAUUAUUUAAAAGCAAAUUU
Molecule: long non-coding RNA, 579 nt
Filed under: Mytilus galloprovincialis (Mediterranean mussel)
Lineage: Eukaryota; Metazoa; Mollusca; Bivalvia; Mytilida; Mytilidae
Source: RNAcentral